CCACGCUCCUUCUGCGCAUGUGCAGCCGUAGCCUCCUCGUUCGUCUUCUCAGGACUCCAGAGAACCGUUGGGGAACUUUGGGGUGUGCUCGGAAAAUGCAGGGUGCGCACCUAGGGCGAGGGACUAGCUGGGAAGGGUGUGCCUGUGCUUGGGGAUGGGAGCAGAAAGUGUCUGGGACCUCGUUGCCCCCCGCGGCGGUGUAUAAACCCGGGCAGGCCGUCAGAGCGGAGCUUCAGAGCAGAGACAAGAGCCCAGAAAGGAGCAGAUGCUAGAUUUGCAAGAUCAGAAGCAGGUCUUGAUCCUCCUGCCCAGAAUGAACCAGACUUGAUGAUGAUGCCACCUUCAGGAGCCACCACACUGUGUGACAGUGGGGCAUUUGGGCCGUCCCUGGGAAGUACAGCUGAACCACAGUCCUCUGUACUCGCCCAGGAGCCACAGAAAGUGAACAUCCCUCAGGUGAGCUCUUUAUUCAUUCCCCAUUUUAUAUUGUAGUGGAUUUAUAAGGUUUAGCAGGAUCCAUGCAUUAAAGGAAAAGGAGAAGUAGAAAUAGUAGAAAUCAAGUCAGUCUUGAGGAAAAAUAUACCAUGUUUUACUAUUAAUUGUGAUGUUGGCUGUUAGCUUUGAGUGGGUAACUUUGUCAGGGUAAGUAGUUUCCCACUCAGCAACCUGUUUCAAUCUCUUUACUUGUGAUUGGGCUAUUCAGAUUCUCUGUUUCUUCUUGAUUCAGUUUUGGGAAGUUGUAUGAGUCUUAGAAUUUAUCUGUUUCUUUUAGAUUGUCCAGUUUGUUGCUAUAUAGUUUUUCAUUGUAUUCUCUUAUAAUCCUUUAUAUUUCUGUGGUAUGUGUUGUAAUUUCUCCUCUUUCAUUUCUAAUUUUAUUUAUUUGAGCCUUCUCUCUUUUUUUCUUAGAGAGUCAGGCUAAGGGUUUGUCAAUUUUGCAUAUGUUCUCAAAGAACCAGUUCUUGGUUUCACUGAUCUUUUCUACUAUUCUUUUUUCUUUUUUGGUUUCAAUUUCAUUUAUUUCUGCUCUGAUUUUUAUUAUUUCCCUCCUUCGGCUGACUUUGGGCUUUGUUGGUUCUUCAUUUUCUAACUGUAUUUUAAGAUUGCUUAUGUGAGAUCUUUCUUGUUUUUUAAGCUGGGCCUGUAUUGCUAUGAAUUUCCCUCAUAGGACCACUUUUUCUGCAUCCCAUAUGAGUUGGUGUGGUGUAUUUUCAUUUUCAUUUGUCUCCAGAUAUUUUUUGAUUUCUCUUUUAGUUUCUUCAAUGAUCCAUUGGUUGUUCAGUAGCAUGUUCUGUAGUCUCCACAUAUUUGUCACUUUCCCA
Molecule: long non-coding RNA, 1319 nt
Filed under: Equus asinus (donkey)
Lineage: Eukaryota; Metazoa; Chordata; Mammalia; Perissodactyla; Equidae
Description: lncRNA (ENSEASG00005037312.1)
Source: RNAcentral